RNAcentral lists this ribosomal RNA (159 nucleotides) under Acremonium incrustatum. RNAcentral's name for it is "partial large subunit ribosomal RNA". It matches the Rfam family "Eukaryotic large subunit ribosomal RNA", at positions 99 to 261 of the family's 3401-position model. Lineage: Eukaryota; Fungi; Ascomycota; Sordariomycetes; Hypocreales; Bionectriaceae. The record is from RNAcentral.
CGGCAACAGCUCAAAUUUGAAAUCUGGCCCUUGGGUCCGAGUUGUAAUUUGUAGAGGAUGUUUCUGGCGCGGUGCCUUCCGAGUUCCCUGGAACGGGACGCCAUAGAGGGUGAGAGCCCCGUCUGGUUGGAUGCCUAGCCUCUGUGAAACUCCUUCGAC